This 426-nucleotide ribosomal RNA is filed under the name uncultured bacterium. Its description in RNAcentral is "bacterial SSU rRNA". It matches the Rfam family "Bacterial small subunit ribosomal RNA", at positions 354 to 796 of the family's 1533-position model. The record is from RNAcentral.
GUAAGGAAUAUUGCACAAUGGGCGAAAGCUUGAUGCAGCAACGCCGCGUGAGUGACGAAGGCCUUCGGGUCGUAAAACUCUUUUCUGAGGGAUGAGCAAGGACAGUACCUCAGGAACAAGUCUCGGCUAACUACGUGCCAGCAGCCGCGGUAAAACGUAGGAGGCGAGCGUUAUCCGGAUUUAUUGGGCGUAAAGGGCAAGUAGGCGGUAGGACAAGUCGGACGUGACAAAUCCCGGCUCAACUGGGAGGGGUCGUUCGAAACUGGCCUGCUAGAGGGCAGGAGAGGGAAGCGGAACUCCUGGUGUAGCGGUGGAAUGCUCAGAUACCAGGAAGAACACCGGUGGCGAAGGCGGCUUUCUGGCCUGCACCUGACGCUGAGAGGCGAAAGCUAGGGGAGCAAACGGGCUUAGAAACCCCAGUAGUCC